This 176-nucleotide RNase P RNA is filed under the name Francisella tularensis subsp. holarctica. RNAcentral's name for it is "partial RNase P RNA component class A". It matches the Rfam family "Bacterial RNase P class A", at positions 1 to 190 of the family's 367-position model. Rfam says of the family: Ribonuclease P (RNase P) is a ubiquitous endoribonuclease, found in archaea, bacteria and eukarya as well as chloroplasts and mitochondria. Its best characterised activity is the generation of mature 5'-ends of tRNAs by cleaving the 5'-leader elements of precursor-tRNAs. Lineage: Bacteria; Pseudomonadati; Pseudomonadota; Gammaproteobacteria; Thiotrichales; Francisellaceae. The record is from RNAcentral.
UUAGUCAGUCGGACAGUCGCGCUUAUAAUGAGUGAUGAAAGUCCGGGCUUUACAGAGCAAGAUGCCAGAUAACGUCUGGGAGGCGAGAGCCUACGGAAAGUGCACCAGAAAAUAUACCGAGUUAUUAUGUAAGGUAAGGGUGUAAAGGUGUGGUAAGAGCGCACCGCAUUGGGGGU